AGGAGAGAAAAUUGCGGGUCACGUUGCCUGGUGCACAGUGACCGUUCCGCACACGGUGGGUCUUCUUGUUCCUUUGAAUAGUGCUUUCUUAGUAUUAUGCUACUACUAACAAUUUUUAAAAAAAAAUUGGAGGAAUGAGAUGUGGGAACGCAGAAGAAGUCCACGUGGAGGACUCAGGAGAGCAGCAGCUGCUGGACUUGGCGUUGACCUUGAGGCGCAGUAACAAUAUAAUUACCGUAUGCAGUCCCCCAGGAUACAGGGUCAAAGGAGAGCACAACCAUCGCAGUUGGAAGCCCAUGGGGCAGAAGCAAGGUCUCGCUGUGUUACCCUGGCUGGAGUGCAGUGGCUACUUACAGGCAUGAUCAUAGCAUACUGCAGCCUCGAACUCCUGGACUAGAGCAGUUCUCCUGCCUCAGCCUCCAGAGCAGCUGGGACUGCAGACACGCACCACAGAGCCCAGCCUGAGUCAUUUUGAUUCUGUAACUGGCUUCCUCUCGGCGGGCAGGCUCACACCCUCCACCCCCAGCUGGAGAUGGAAGGAGGAUGCUCACCGCCCAUUCCUCAUGCAGGCCAUCGAUGGAAAUGUCAGACAGUGCGAGUCCACGCCUGAACACUUCUGGGGUCCGCUCUGGGACUGACACUGGCAGAUCCAUCGGUGAGCUCCCGCCUGCCACCUCUGGGCCUGCAUUGCGGUGAUAGGGCCAAGGGCCUGGGCCUUCAAUUCUCCAGACUUGCCAAAAUGCUCAGCGCAGGCCUCGUCGGCAACUGCAGACAAGCAGAGGCAGCACCUGGGCUCUGCCUGUGCCUGGCACAGUGAAGCGAGGGUGGGGGCAGGAAUGAGGGUCCUCUCCAUGCAAGGGGGGAAGAUAGAAGAACAAAAUUUCACCCUAAUGUAGUGUCUUUAGACCGUGCAAUGUUGUGCUCCUGUUAGUCUGAUAUCAGGGGCUUGCAGCCUGGCAAAGGAAAAAAAACAGGCUGAGGCACAUGAUAGAAGACAGGCAGGGAUGCCACAAUCAUAACCAUGGCAAAGACCAGGAUCAGAAAGGCCCACCAUCUCUGACCCCAAAUCCCUGGGCAGAUGGUUCCAGAACUCAGAAUUUUCCCAGUUGUAGAAAGAUGGGGCCAGGUGCAGUGGCUCACGCCUGUAAUCCCAGCAUUUUGGGAGUACAAGGUGGGCGGAUCACCUGAGGUCAGGAGUUCGAGACCAGCCUGGCCAACAUGGUGAAACCCUGUCUCUACUAAAAAAAAAAAAAAAAA
Molecule: long non-coding RNA, 1257 nt
Filed under: Homo sapiens (human)
Lineage: Eukaryota; Metazoa; Chordata; Mammalia; Primates; Hominidae
Description: long intergenic non-protein coding RNA 963
Source: RNAcentral